GGGCGGGUGGUGUAACGGAUGAACACGGCGCCGUCCGAAGGCGCAGAUUCGAGUUCGACUCUCGGCCUGCCUGCCA
RNAcentral lists this transfer RNA (76 nucleotides) under Candidatus Angelobacter sp. Gp1-AA117. RNAcentral describes it as "Acidobacteriia bacterium AA117 tRNA-Arg". It matches the Rfam family "tRNA". From Rfam's summary of the family: Transfer RNA (tRNA) molecules are approximately 80 nucleotides in length. Their secondary structure includes four short double-helical elements and three loops (D, anti-codon, and T loops). RNAcentral also lists the same sequence under 1 other name. The record is from RNAcentral. Lineage: Bacteria; Pseudomonadati; Acidobacteriota; Terriglobia.